AACGUGGAUUAAUGCCUGAUAGUCUCUACGGAGUAAAUGGUGCUCCGGGUAUCGCUAGAGGAUGGGCUCGCGGCCUAUCAGCUUGUUGGUGAGGUAAAGGCUCACCAAGGCGACGACGGGUAGCUGGUCUGAGAGGACGAUCAGCAACACUGGAACUGAGACACGGUCCAGACACCUACGGGUGGCAGCAGUCGAGAAUCAUUCACAAUGGAGGCAACUCUGAUGGUGCAACGCCGCGUGGAGGAUGACGGUCCUAGGAUUGUAAACUCCUGUCAUUGGGGAGUAAGACUUAAGCGUUAAGAGCGUUUAAGUUUGAUAGUACCCAAAGAGGA
RNAcentral lists this ribosomal RNA (332 nucleotides) under uncultured bacterium. RNAcentral describes it as "bacterial SSU rRNA". It matches the Rfam family "Bacterial small subunit ribosomal RNA", at positions 155 to 488 of the family's 1533-position model. The record is from RNAcentral.